AUACGUAGGGUGCAAGCGUUAAUCGGAAUUACUGGGCGUAAAGCGUGCGCAGGCGGUUUUGUAAGUCUGUCGUGAAAGCCCCGGGCUCAACCUGGGAAUUGCGAUGGAGACUGCAAGGCUUGAAUCUGGCAGAGGGGGGUAGAAUUCCACGUGUAGCAGUGAAAUGCGUAGAGAUGUGGAGGAACACCGAUGGCGAAGGCAGCCCCCUGGGUCAAGAUUGACGCUCAUGCACGAAAGCGUGGGGAGCAAACAGGAUUAGAUACCCUGGUAGUCCAUGCCCUAAACGAUGUCUACUAGUUGUCGGGUUUUAAUUAACUUGGUAACGCAGCUAACGCGUGAAGUAGACCGCCUGGGGAGUACGGUCGCAAGAUUAAA
RNAcentral lists this ribosomal RNA (375 nucleotides) under uncultured bacterium. Its description in RNAcentral is "bacterial SSU rRNA". It matches the Rfam family "Bacterial small subunit ribosomal RNA", at positions 523 to 898 of the family's 1533-position model. The record is from RNAcentral.